RNAcentral lists this unclassified non-coding RNA (217 nucleotides) under plant metagenome. RNAcentral describes it as "partial contains small subunit ribosomal RNA, internal transcribed spacer 1, and 5.8S ribosomal RNA". The record is from RNAcentral.
UCUCCGUAGGUGAACCAGCGGAGGGAUCAUUACAAGUUACCCCGGUCUAAUCACCGUAAUGUUCAUAACUCUUUGUUGUCCGACUCUGUUGCCUCCCGGUCGACCCUGCCCUCGGCCAGGGGCUCCGGGUGGACACUUCAAUCUCUUGCGUAACUUUGCAGUCUGAGUAUACUUAAUUAAUAAAUUAAAACUUUUAACAACGGAUCUCUUGGUUCUG